CAAUAGCGUAUAUUUAAGUUGUUGCAGUUAAAAAGCUCGUAGUUGGAUUUCGGGUGGGAAUGGCCGGUCCGCCGUUUCGGUGUGCACUUGCUACGCCCACCUUGCUGCCGGGGACGUGCUCUUGGGUUCACGCUCGGGACACGGAGUCGGCGAGGUUACUUUGAGUAAAUUAGAGUGUUCAAAGCAGGCCUACGCUCUGAAUACAUUAGCAUGGAAUAACACGAUAGGACUCUGGCCUAUCUUGUUGGUCUGUAGGACCGGAGUAAUGAUUAAGAGGGACAGUCGGGGGCAUUCGUAUUUCAUUGUCAGAGGUGAAAUUCUUGGAUUUAUGAAAGACGAACUACUGCGAAAGCAUUUGCCAAGGAUGUUUUCAUUAA
Molecule: ribosomal RNA, 377 nt
Filed under: uncultured eukaryote
Lineage: Eukaryota
Description: partial 18S ribosomal RNA
Rfam family: Eukaryotic small subunit ribosomal RNA
Source: RNAcentral